CCUACGGGAGGCAGCAGUAGGGAAUUUUCGUCAAUGGGCGCAAGCCUGAACGAGCAAUGCAGCGUGAACGAGGACGGUCUUCGGAUCGUAAAGUUCUGUUGAAGGGGAAAAAGAGCGGAGAGAGGAAAUGCUUUUUGAUGUAUAUUACCCUUCGAGGCAGUCACGGCUAACUACGUGCGAGCAGCCGAGGUAAUACGUAGGUGGCGAGGGUUAUCCGGAAUGAUUGGGAGUAAAGGGUGCGUAGGCGGCCUGCUAAGUCUGGAGUGAAAGGUACCGGCUCAACCGGUACAGGCUCUGGAAACUGGCGGGCUAGAGAGCAGGAGAGGGCGGUGGAACUCCAGGUGUAGCGGUACAAUGCGUAGAUAUAUGGAAGAACACCAGUGGCGAAGGCGGCCGCCUGGCCUGUUACUGACGCUGAGGCACGAAAGCGUGGGGAGCAAAUAGGAUUAGAUACCCUUGUAGUC
This 464-nucleotide ribosomal RNA is filed under the name uncultured bacterium. Its description in RNAcentral is "partial 16S ribosomal RNA". It matches the Rfam family "Bacterial small subunit ribosomal RNA", at positions 338 to 795 of the family's 1533-position model. The record is from RNAcentral.